GGGGGUGAUCGGUUUCGACUUCGGCAGUUGAAGUGAGAGAAGCGAGCCGUGGUCUCCGGAGCCACGUUAAAGAGCCGGAACACACAACAAACGCCAACGUUUCUAACGACGACCUGGCGCUCGCUGCCUGAUCAAGCUUCGGCUUAGUCAGUAAGUGAGUUGGCCGCCGAUUCCAUGCCCUGCGGAGUCGGCGUGCCUUCAUGAAGCGGGGCUCAUCUGCAACGAAUGCCGACGGCUUUGCGGAAACAUCUCAGUCGGAUAAGGAGCUUGCGGGCUGUCGAUGGCCCUCAUCCUCCCGACAAUCGCUCAUCGACUGCGCUCGGAGAAGACUCAUAGAUGCGUCGAAGGACGCGGGUUCGAUUCCCGCCACCUCCACCA
This 378-nucleotide transfer-messenger RNA is filed under the name Acidimicrobiales. RNAcentral's name for it is "JAAETH01 sp020439485 Standard tmRNA". It matches the Rfam family "transfer-messenger RNA". Rfam says of the family: Bacterial tmRNA, also known as 10Sa RNA or SsrA, is named for its dual tRNA and mRNA-like properties. Lineage: Bacteria; Bacillati; Actinomycetota; Acidimicrobiia. RNAcentral also lists the same sequence under 1 other name. The record is from RNAcentral.